Heterocephalus glaber (naked mole-rat) is the source of this 102-nucleotide small nucleolar RNA. Lineage: Eukaryota; Metazoa; Chordata; Mammalia; Rodentia; Bathyergidae. The record is from Ensembl.
GUCCUUUGGUUCAUGAGCGUGAUGAUUGGGUGUUCAUGCCAUAUGCAUGAGAUGUGCUUCCCUCAAACCUUGUUACAAAGUUGGCACAUUAUCCAUAUGACC